GGUUGAUCCUGCCAGUAGUCAUAUGCUUGUCUCAAAGAUUAAGCCAUGCAUGUCUCAGUACUUGCUUUAACAAGGCGAAACCGCGAAUGGCUCAUUAAAUCAGUUAUGGUUCACUAGAUCGUAAAUCCUACACGGAUAACUGAGGUAAUUCUUCAGCUAAUACGUGCAAACGGCUCGUAGCCUUGUGUUGCGAGUGCAGUUAUUAGAACAAAACCAAUCCGGCCUUCGGGUCGGUUAGAAUGGUGACUCUGAAUAACCGAAGCGGAGCGUAUGGUCUAGUACCGACGCCAGAU
This 293-nucleotide ribosomal RNA is filed under the name uncultured eukaryote. RNAcentral's name for it is "partial 18S ribosomal RNA". It matches the Rfam family "Eukaryotic small subunit ribosomal RNA", at positions 6 to 295 of the family's 1831-position model. The record is from RNAcentral.